UUGUGGAUGGAGAGCAGGUUCUUGGAGGAUAAUGUGAAUAAUAAACUAUACAACUUUCUGAGGAUCCCCAACCAUCCUUAUCUCGCUUUUUAUCGAAACAAGAUUGUUGAAUACCGAAAUGCUCAUCAGAAACAAUGUAUCAAACCUCCUUGUUCUACUAAUUAUGUUGCACAGCCUCCAGUUGUAGAAAUUAAGUGUCCUGAAGGGAUGAAACCCAAUGAUUUUGGCGUUAUCAAACUCACAGCUCAGUUUGUGGUGCGGUAUGGGAGGCAUUUCUGGCCCGAUUUGGUGAAUAGUGUGACUAUGAACCCGAAACCCCAAUUUGCCUUUAUCAAUGCAAGUGAUUGCAGAUUUAAUGUUCUACUUGAGCUUGUUGAUGCUUAUGCUAAAAUUUUAAUGCCUUACUGGAAGCGGCCAGCGAGUAAACCUAACCAACAUGCUUGCAAAGAAACCUUGUUUGCCUGUGCCGCUUCCAAAGGGAUCUCAGUGGCGUUUCCUUCUCCGCCACUGUCACUACCUGAGGAACCAGAACCAAAGAGACAAGCUUAAUAAGUCAGCACUUGUUCCAGAAGACCAGUUUCUCGUUCAACAUUCGGUUAACGUUUUUUCCCUGUUUUUUUUUCUUGUUUGACUUGACUUGUAACUGAUCAGCAGUCGCACAUUUUCAGGGUUCUGUUACAAUCAGGGUUUCUUUUCCAAACGUGAACAGUGAGCAAGUCACUGAGAUCACUCUGCAGUCGUUAUCAGAAAACGUGGCAAGUUUGAAGGAGAAAAAUAGCUAGGAAGAUCCAAAUUCCAGCAAACAAACAGAAGUUAUGGGGAAAAGCCGGAUUUCUAAAGAAGGACAACAUGUCAUUGGCACAUUACUGUGUGGGAGCAGGAGAAACUCUAAUUAUGUCUUUGUGAGAACGUGGGGAGGAGAGAAAACGCUUUCCAUCUCUUAUUUGGUUGAUGUGGCCAUGUACCGGUUUUAACUUUGUUUUCGAUUGGCAGCUACUUUUGAUUUUUGAAGUUUGUUUUGGAUUGGCAGCUACUUAUGAUAGUCUUAAAAACAUAUAUAUGUGAUGCUUUUCAUGUCAUGGUUGUUUUGGAUUGGCAGAUAGUCUUCAACAUAUUCUCAGUAUGAGGGCUUGGUGGUGCUUAACGGCGGAGAUCGGAAGGAUCUGGACGAGGAUUUGAAGUCGGGGGUAUACAGGAUCGACGCGAAGCUGAGGCUUAGGGUGAGGUUUAAGUUUGGGUUGAUCAAGUCGUGGAGGUUUAGGCCCAAGGUUAGGUGUGAUCUCAAGGUUCCUCUCGGUUCCUCUAAUGUAACCAGCGGGUUUCAGUUUCAGCGGACCAAGUGUGACAUUGACUUUUGAUGCUAGUCAAAGUCAAAUGCUAUUGUGUUCGGAUUUUAUUUUCAUUUAUAUGCACUUGUUUAUUUUAUCUUUCGAUUGUUUUUCGUACAUGGACUUUAUGUGAUAUUGUUGGAGAGGUAUAUAUGUUUUGUGUAAUAAUCUUUUAGCGUAUGGUUCCAUGUAAAUAAAAUAGUUUUUCGUAUAAAUAUAUGAAUUAUCAUUUAGAAUGAAGCAUAACUGAAAAAAGAAAAGAAUGAAGCAUGACGGUACAAGUACACUAGAGAAGUAUUUCUCAAAAAAAAAGUACACGAGAGAAGCGGUCAAACAGUUUGUUGCCAAAAAAAAUAAAAAAAUAGAGAGGCUUACUUGUUAGGAUAGAAAUGUCUAACUAACACACAAUUAAGAAAACUUCAACCAGAGCUGAAGUUUCCGAUAUUUCUGGAGCUCCUUCCUUACGAUAAUGAUGUUUGGAUGGUUCUCAAUAAAUAGUUUUAUAUAUUGAUGCUCGGGGUGUGGAUGUAUUGAUGUUUUAUCUCCUCCUUAAUCAACCUAUAGAAGAUCUGAUUGUUCAUCUGUUUUUUUUGGUAGAAAAAGAUGUCCAGUUCAAGUGAGGAUGAUCCAAACAUUGAUCCAGAAGUCAGGUUUAUUAUGGAGGGAACUGCACGUUUGGUCGCCAAGCAUGGGUUGUGGAUGGAGAGCAGGUUCUUGGAGGAUAAUGUGAAUAAUAAACUAUACAACUUUCUGAGGAUCCCCAACCAUCCUUAUCUCGCUUUUUAUCGAAACAAGAUUGUUGAAUACCGAAAUGCUCAUCAGAAACAAUGUAUCAAACCUCCUUGUUCUACUAAUUAUGUUGCACAGCCUCCAGUUGUAGAAAUUAAGUGUCCUGAAGGGAUGAAACCCAAUGAUUUUGGCGUUAUCAAACUCACAGCUCAGUUUGUGGUGCGGUAUGGGAGGCAUUUCUGGCCCGAU
RNAcentral lists this long non-coding RNA (2306 nucleotides) under Brassica napus (rape). Its description in RNAcentral is "long non-coding RNA (BNAP_LNC013342)". Lineage: Eukaryota; Viridiplantae; Streptophyta; Magnoliopsida; Brassicales; Brassicaceae. The record is from RNAcentral.